CCCUAUAUUGGGGAUGUCGGGAAACCGACUAUGGCGAUAAACGCGUUAUGGAAUAAGCGUUGCGGACCCGGGGGCGGUACCCGGCGCCUCCACCAGCUUGCCACUCCCGGAACCUUCAGGCGCUUCGCCCGGUUCCGAGAUGGCCCCACGGGGGCGAAAUAGGAUCGACGCGCGUGGUAAAGGUAACGUUUUUGCCCGGCAUGGUUCCGCCGUUAUCGGGCCAACACAGAAGUGCCAACGACAACAAUCGUCUGGCUCUCGCUGCCUAAUAGGUAAGCGCGGUCCGGGGGGCACCGGGCAACAGAAGCCCCCCACUUGAGUUUCGAGAAGCGCUGCCGGCAUGGUGCCAAAAGAAGCAGC
This 360-nucleotide transfer-messenger RNA is filed under the name Hypericibacter adhaerens. The stretch from base 1 to 316 matches the Rfam family "Alphaproteobacteria transfer-messenger RNA". From Rfam's summary of the family: Bacterial tmRNA, also known as 10Sa RNA or SsrA, is named for its dual tRNA and mRNA-like properties. Lineage: Bacteria; Pseudomonadati; Pseudomonadota; Alphaproteobacteria; Rhodospirillales; Dongiaceae. The record is from RNAcentral.